Molecule: transfer RNA, 70 nt
Filed under: Alosa alosa (allis shad)
Lineage: Eukaryota; Metazoa; Chordata; Actinopteri; Clupeiformes; Clupeidae
Description: tRNA-OTHER
Source: RNAcentral
GUCUCUGUGGCGAAUCGGUUAGCCGCUCGCUUGUUAACCUAAAGGUUGGUGGUUCGAGCCCACCAGGACG